AUUGAACGCUGGCGGCAGGCCUAACACAUGCAAGUCGAACGAAUAGCGGACGGGUGAGUAGUGUCGGGGAAACUGCCCAAUGGAGGGAGAUAACUACUGGAAACGGUAGCUACUACCGCAUACCAUCGUCUGUGCCCAGGUGGGAUUAGCUAGUAGGUGGGGUAAAGGCUCAUCGAGGCGACGAGCCCUAGCUGGGCCAGGAGGAUGACCAGCCACACUGUAACUGAGACACGGUCCAGACUCCUACGGGAGGCAGCAGUGGGGAAUUUUGCACAAUGGGCGCAAGUCUGAUGGAGCCAUGCCGCGUGUAUGAAGAAGGCCUUCGGGUCGUAAAGUACUUUCAGCGGGGAGGCGUUACCCGCAGAAGAAGCACCGGCUAACUCCGUGCCAGCAGCCGCGGUAAUAC
RNAcentral lists this ribosomal RNA (406 nucleotides) under uncultured bacterium. Its description in RNAcentral is "partial 16S ribosomal RNA". It matches the Rfam family "Bacterial small subunit ribosomal RNA", at positions 30 to 526 of the family's 1533-position model. The record is from RNAcentral.